AGAAUCAACGCUGGCGGCGUGCCUAACACAUGCAAGUCGCACGAGAAAGGGGCUUCGGCCUUGAGUAAAGUGGCGCACGGGUGAGUAACACGUGAAUCAUCUACCUCCGAGUGGGGAAUAACCUAGAGAAAUCUGGGCUAAUACCGCGUAACACUUACGAGUCAAAGCAGCAAUGCGCUUGGAGAGGAGUUCGCGGCCGAUUAGCUAGUUGGCGGGGUAAUGGCCCACCAAGGCGAUGAUCGGUA
RNAcentral lists this ribosomal RNA (245 nucleotides) under uncultured bacterium. Its description in RNAcentral is "partial small subunit ribosomal RNA". It matches the Rfam family "Bacterial small subunit ribosomal RNA", at positions 26 to 285 of the family's 1533-position model. The record is from RNAcentral.